AGCAGCCGCGGUAAUUCCAGCUCCAAUAGCGUAUAUUAAAGUUGUUGCAGUUAAAAAGCUCGUAGUUGAAUUUUGGAUUCUACCAAUUGGUCCAUCUUUUAGAUGAGUACUGGUUGUGUGGGGUCUAUCCGCCUGGUGAUACGUAAUGUCCUUUAUUGGAUGUUGCGGGUAGUCAGGACCUUUACCUUGAAAAAAUUAGAGUGUUUAAAGCAGGCUUAUGCCGGAAUACAUUAGCAUGGAAUAAUAGAAUAGGACGAAGUUGUUUUAUUUUGUUGGUUUCUAGGACAACCGUAAUGAUUAAUAGGGAUAGUUGGGGGCAUUAGUAUUCAAUUGUCAGAGGUGAAAUUCUUGGAUUUAUUGAAGACUAACUACUGCGAAAGCAUUUGCCAAGGAUGUUUUCAUUAAUCAAGAACGAAAGUUAGGGGAUCGAAGACGAUCAGAUACCGUCGU
This 450-nucleotide ribosomal RNA is filed under the name uncultured Archaeospora. RNAcentral describes it as "SSU rRNA". It matches the Rfam family "Eukaryotic small subunit ribosomal RNA", at positions 569 to 1021 of the family's 1831-position model. The record is from RNAcentral. Lineage: Eukaryota; Fungi; Glomeromycota; Glomeromycetes; Archaeosporales; Archaeosporaceae.